Molecule: long non-coding RNA, 1840 nt
Organism: Patella vulgata (common limpet)
Lineage: Eukaryota; Metazoa; Mollusca; Gastropoda; Patellidae
Exons: 8
Source: RefSeq, a predicted model, not a curated record
UACACUUACAUCUGUUUGCAUACGAUAUUUUGAUAUUGGAUUUAUCUGAAUAGACCAGUGACUUUCAUUGCUUUGGGGUGUAUAAUGUUUGCAAGCAAAUGUACUCGUCAAGUUGAAAUUAUAGAAAUAAUGCGAAACAAAUCAUAGUGUUUCGAAUGGUUAAUAUCCGAUGUUAGAUAGGGAUCAGCUGAUGCAUGCGUUAAAAUCUCAGCAUGUUCUUGCCAAAAUUCUGAGGGUACUAUAGAUUUAACUCCACUUUCCGGAAGUCCGAAGUUUAAAGAUGUACAAGAUGAAGCUGGAAGUUAUUAUUUUUCUUAUAAUCCAUGUAAUGAAUUCACUGAAAGUGGAUGUACAUCUGUUUCUGCAUGUCAAACCGAUAUGACCAAUUAUUAUAGUAUAGGAACUCAAAAUAGCGCAGCGUUUAAAGUAGAUGCAACCAAUGGACUAUAUAUUGAAUAUGAUGCCACAACAGAUGUUAAAAGAACAUCACAGGUCUAUUUAAAAUGUGACAAAACAGAAGAGGGUAAACUUGAUGUUAAAGGAGAAUUUCCCGCUGGCAGCGCUAUAUAUGAAAUGACCCUAACAAGUAAAUACGCUUGCCCAAGUGGUAAUGACGGACCAACGGUUACCGUAUCUGUAGAUUUAUCAACAGGAUCAAUUAUGGUUAUCAUAUUUUUUGCUGUAUUGGUUGUGUAUGUGAUAGCUGGUAUAACCUUUCAGCGGUUUGGGCGCAAAGCAUCUGGGAAAGAGAUGGCACCAAAUUAUGGUUUUUGGUCAAGCAUUCCUGGACUUGUUAAAGAUGGCGUUCUAUUUACUGUAAAAUGUGGAAAAGUUGGAAGCUCUUACGAUAAUAUUUAACGUUAAUAAUUGUUGUAUAAUAAUAUUUAUAUUCAUUGUACAUAAUAUAUUUAUUAAAUAUUAAUCAACGCGUUUCAAAGAUGUAUGUGAUUGCUAGGGUAGACUAGCCUGGUUGGCCUAAUUAUUAAUUUUUUGUAUUUCAUUUCUUUUAUAUUCCGAUUAACCUUUAAAAUCAUGAGUUGCUACAAAAUCAUCGCUAAUCCCUCAGUCAUUAGAUACGCCAGUAAAUAAAGACAUUUUUAUCGACAUUUUAUCAACAAUGGAAAGCAUUUUAUUGCCAGAGCCUCGUCUGUGAGACAAACAUCUUCCUUACCUUACAAAACUACCUCAGUCAAAUCCAACAAUUUUGUAAAAUAAGGUUCCAAAUAAAAUAAUUAAACCAUAUGUUAGUCCCGAAAUGACCUAGUUUGUGUCGAGUGGACAUUAAACCCCUUCUCUCUCUCUCUCUCUCUCUCUCUCUCUCUCUACCAAGGUCACAUGCCAUUUGCGAUACAGAUGUAUUUGAAAUGGUUAAAUUUGGUGCGAAACUUGUACCAAUUUUUCCCACAGUCUGAAUAAGUAACAAGCAGCCUGUGGUGCCUCUUUUUUAUUAUUAAAAUACAUCUUUAAAAAGACGAUUAACGAUGUUUAGACACACUGAACUAUUCUUAUCACGAAUGUUUCGAUGUCAGUAUCUGUCGUAUAACCAGAAACAUUGAAUAUUAUUGACAUGAACUUACAGCCGGAAUGUGAAUUAAAUAUGGAAAUAUUUGAGAAGCGGCGACCUUUUUUUAUAUCUUUUAAAAUGGACUAAUACCCAUAGAGCAUGGGGAUUAGACACCUUUAUGAAAUAUGAACAAUAAAUAGUAUGAACAUUUAUUUAUAAAUGUUAGCCGCAAAGUUGCCUGCAUGCAUGGGAAUUUACAAUAUGGAGUGAAGAUGAUGUAAAAGUAUAUUAUUAUAUUUACGAGUACCCGUGUAAUCGGUAAUAUAUUCAUUAAUU